Non-coding RNA from Antechinus flavipes (yellow-footed antechinus), 712 nucleotides. NCBI's taxonomy places the organism in Eukaryota, Metazoa, Chordata, Mammalia, Dasyuromorphia, Dasyuridae. The record is from the annotation of a RefSeq genome assembly.
GCAAAAUGGAGUCUCUGUCUCAGCUGCUAUGUGGGCUCUUGAUGGUUUGCGUCCCAGUUUCCAGGGGAGAAAUUGUGGUGACCCAGUUUCCAGCCUCGGUGUCUGUGAGCCCAGGAGAGAGAGUCACCAUCAGCUGCAAGAUCAGUGAAAGUGUCACAGACAGUAAUGGAGACACUUACCUAUACUGGCUCCAACAGAAACCUGGACAGUCUCCUCGGCGACUCAUUUACUUGGUUUCCAAGCUGGACUCAGGAGUUCCUGACCGGUUCAGUGGCAGUGGUGCUGAGAAGGAUUUCACCUUCACAAUUAGCAGUCUGGAGGCUGAAGAUGGGGCAGAAUAUUACUGUGUUCUAGGAUCUUAUUCUUCUCCCACAGUGUUACAGCCCUGAACAAAAACCUCCCCAGGCCUGGGCUGGCUGCUCAGGGAGGCCCAGCUGCCUCCCCUCCUUCUUCUGCUGCAGCAGCUGCUGGGGGCCUGCUCAGGGGCAGGGUCUCUGGGGCUGAUGAGACAAAAGGGACUCGGGGCUCAGGGGAAAGGCCCGGUCUGAGAGCUUGGUGCUCUGGGGACUCUUGCUCCUCUUCAGCCAGGAGCAGAAUCAUCAAAGAAAGAACCACUGGCCCAGACUGAGUCACCCCACAAUGCCCUGGGCCUGAGGCACUCUCCCAUUCCUAUUCCAUCUGACUCCCCUCAGCACAAGAAACAAAGAGAAAG